GUUACUCUGAGUGCAUAUCCACACCGGGCGAGCUUAAAAAAUAUGCCCGGCCACGGUGGGAUUCGAACCUACGACCUUUGGAAUACUAGCCCAAUGCUCUUCCAACUGAGCUACGCGGUCAGGACGGUUCGAGUAAGUGAUAUUUCGGAACAGUAUCAAGUUCCUUCAAUACCAAUGUGUUCUUGUAAUAUGAAUUUUUUCUGUGCUAGUGUUGUGUACUCAGGUGAAUAAUAUCG
Molecule: non-coding RNA, 236 nt
Organism: Paramuricea clavata
Lineage: Eukaryota; Metazoa; Cnidaria; Anthozoa; Malacalcyonacea; Plexauridae
Source: the annotation of a GenBank genome assembly